Molecule: long non-coding RNA, 500 nt
Organism: Bubalus bubalis (water buffalo)
Lineage: Eukaryota; Metazoa; Chordata; Mammalia; Artiodactyla; Bovidae
Exons: 2
Source: RefSeq, a predicted model, not a curated record
CUGGCGCGCUCUUGCGGGCCGCCUUAGUGGCCAGCUGCUUGCGCGGUGCCUUGCCGCCGGUGGACUUCCGAGCAGUCUGCUUAGUACGAGCCAUCACAAGAGAGUGAUCAGAAACCAAAUGUCUGCUACAAGUGCGAUCCGAAGGAAUUUGUGGGCAUUCACCCCAGCAAGGUGGUCAUCACCAGGCUAAAACUGGACAAAGAUCGGAAAAAAAUUCUUGAACGCAAAGCCAAAUCUCGACAGGUUGGGAAAGAGAAAGGAAAAUAUAAGGAGGAACUUAUUGAGAAAAUGCAGGAAUGAAUAUACCCUGUUGCACAACCAUGGUUUAUCUGUAGGUUUUUUACCUGGCAUGUAGGCGUUUAAAACUUUUCAAGAUGUCUCUCUCUCUCAAGUAUUUUAUUUCCUUCCUGUUUUGUUAUUAUUAUUUAUGUGGUUCUGUAAAUCCACUUCUGCUGUUUUGAUUAAUAAUUUUAUGAAUAAAAAUUGGAAAUGUUAAAAAA